Molecule: transfer RNA, 72 nt
Filed under: Cronartium ribicola 11-2
Lineage: Eukaryota; Fungi; Basidiomycota; Pucciniomycetes; Pucciniales; Coleosporiaceae
Description: tRNA-Sup (CTA) (tRNA-Sup-CTA-127-1)
Rfam family: tRNA
About the family: Transfer RNA (tRNA) molecules are approximately 80 nucleotides in length. Their secondary structure includes four short double-helical elements and three loops (D, anti-codon, and T loops). Further hydrogen bonds mediate the characteristic L-shaped molecular structure. tRNAs have two regions of fundamental functional importance: the anti-codon, which is responsible for specific mRNA codon recognition, and the 3' end, to which the tRNAs corresponding amino acid is attached (by aminoacyl-tRNA synthetases). tRNAs cope with the degeneracy of the genetic code in two manners: having more than one tRNA (with a specific anti-codon) for a particular amino acid; and 'wobble' base-pairing, i.e. permitting non-standard base-pairing at the 3rd anti-codon position.
Source: RNAcentral
GUGUCUGUAGCCUAGUGGUCAAAGGAAGCACUCUAGAUGCUGAGGUUGUGGGUUUGAGUCCCACCAGACACA